Molecule: non-coding RNA, 18 nt
Filed under: Arabidopsis thaliana (thale cress)
Lineage: Eukaryota; Viridiplantae; Streptophyta; Magnoliopsida; Brassicales; Brassicaceae
Source: RNAcentral
AAGGGGAUGUAGCUCAGA